Molecule: ribosomal RNA, 322 nt
Filed under: uncultured bacterium
Lineage: Bacteria
Description: bacterial SSU rRNA
Rfam family: Bacterial small subunit ribosomal RNA
Source: RNAcentral
ACCUACAGAAGAAGCACCGGCUAACUCCGUGCCAGCAGCCGCGGUAAUACGGAGGGUGCGAGCGUUAAUCGGAAUUACUGGGCGUAAAAGCGCAUGCAGGCGGCCUGUUAAGUCAGAUGUGAAAAGCCCGGGCUUAAACCUCGGAAAUUGCAUUUGAAAACUGGCAGGCUAGAGUCUUGUAGAGGGGGUAGAAUUUCAGGUGUAGCGGUGAAAAUGCGUAGAGAUCUGAAGGAAUUACCAGUGGCGAAGGCGGCCCCCUGGACAAAGACUGACGCUCAGAUGCGAAAGCGUGGGGAGCAAACAGGAUUAGAUACCCUGGUAG